This 279-nucleotide ribosomal RNA is filed under the name uncultured bacterium. RNAcentral describes it as "partial 16S ribosomal RNA". It matches the Rfam family "Bacterial small subunit ribosomal RNA", at positions 506 to 784 of the family's 1533-position model. The record is from RNAcentral.
UGCCAGCAGCCGCGGUAAUACGGAGGGAGCGAGCGUUAAUCGGAAUUACUGGGCGUAAAGCGCGCGUAGGCGGCUUUGUAAGUCAGGUGUGAAAGCUCGGGGCUCAACCCCGGAAGUGCACUUGAAACAGCAAGACAUGAAUACGGUAGAGGAGAGAGGAAUUCCUGGUGUAGAGGUGAAAUUCGUAGAUAUCAGGAGGAACACCGAUGGCGAAGGCAUCUCUCUGGGCCGAUAUUGACGCUGAGGCGCGAAGGCGUGGGUAGCGAACGGGAUUAGAUA